This 508-nucleotide ribosomal RNA is filed under the name uncultured bacterium. RNAcentral describes it as "partial 16S ribosomal RNA". It matches the Rfam family "Bacterial small subunit ribosomal RNA", at positions 28 to 507 of the family's 1533-position model. The record is from RNAcentral.
GACGAACGCUGGCGGCGUGCCUAAUACAUGCAAGUCGAACGCUUCUUUCCUCCCGAGUGCUUGCACUCAAUUGGAAAGAGGAGUGGCGGACGGGUGAGUAACACGUGGGUAACCUACCCAUCAGAGGGGGAUAACACUUGGAAACAGGUGCUAAUACCGCAUAACAGUUUAUGCCGCAUGGCAUAAGAGUGAAAGGCGCUUUCGGGUGUCGUUGAUGGAUGGACCCGCGGUGCAUUAGCUAGUUGGUGAGGUAACGGCUCACCAAGGCCACGAUGCAUAGCCGACCUGAGAGGGUGAUCGGCCACACUGGGACUGAGACACGGCCCAGACUCCUACGGGAGGCAGCAGUAGGGAAUCUUCGGCAAUGGACGAAAGUCUGACCGAGCAGCGCCGCGUGAGUGAAGAAGGUUUUCGGAUCGUAAAACUCUGUUGUUAGAGAAGAACAAGGACGUUAGUAACUGAACGUCCCCUGACGGUAUCUAACCAGAAAGCCACGGCUAACUACGUG